RNAcentral lists this ribosomal RNA (113 nucleotides) under Paenibacillus jamilae. Its description in RNAcentral is "partial 23S ribosomal RNA". It matches the Rfam family "Bacterial large subunit ribosomal RNA", at positions 2807 to 2925 of the family's 2925-position model. Lineage: Bacteria; Bacillati; Bacillota; Bacilli; Caryophanales; Paenibacillaceae. The record is from RNAcentral.
AGAUUUCCCAAUUAGUAAGACCCCUUGAAGACGACGAGGUAGAUAGGUUGGGGGUGGAAGUGCAGUAAUGCAUGGAGCUGACCAAUACUAAUCGGUCGAGGGCUUAUCCUAAA